Molecule: ribosomal RNA, 324 nt
Filed under: uncultured bacterium
Lineage: Bacteria
Description: bacterial SSU rRNA
Rfam family: Bacterial small subunit ribosomal RNA
Source: RNAcentral
GAUGAACGCUGGCGGCGUGCUUAACACAUGCAAGUCGAGCGAAGCGCUUAAGUUUGAUUCUUCGGAUGAAGACUUUUGUGACUGAGCGGCGGACGGGUGAGUAACGCGUGGGUAACCUGCCUCAUACUCGGGGAUAGCCUUGCGAAAGUAAGAUUAAUACCCGGCGGUCUCGGAUGGCCGCAUGACUAUCCGAGUGAAGAUUUAUCGGUAUGAGAUGGCGAUGCGUCCCAUUAGCUAGUUGGUGAGGUAAUGGCUCACCAAGGCAUCGAUGGGUAGGGGUUCUGAGAGGAAGGUCCCCCACAUUGGAACUGAGACACGGUCCAA